AACACAUGCAAGUCGAGCGGUAGCACAGGGGAGCUUGCUCCCUGGGUGACGAGCGGCGGACGGGUGAGUAAUGUCUGGGAAACUGCCUGAUGGAGGGGGAUAACUACUGGAAACGGUAGCUAAUACCGCAUAACGUCGCAAGACCAAAGAGGGGGACCUUCGGGCCUCUUGCCAUCAGAUGUGCCCAGAUGGGAUUAGCUAGUAGGUGGGGUAAUGGCUCACCUAGGCGACGAUCCCUAGCUGGUCUGAGAGGAUGACCAGCCACACUGGAACUGAGACACGGUCCAGACUCCUACGGGAGGCAGCAGUGGGGAAUAUUGCACAAUGGGCGCAAGCCUGAUGCAGCCAUGCCGCGUGUGUUAAGAAGGCCUUCGGGUUGUAAAGCACUUUCAGCGAGGAGGAAGGUGGUGAGCUUAAUACGCUCAUCGAUUGACGUUACUCGCAGAAGAAGCACCGGCUAACUCCGUGCCAGCAGCCGCGGUAAUACGGAGGGUGCAAGCGUUAAUCGGAAUUACUGGGCGUAAAGCGCACGCAGGCGGUUUGUUAAGUCAGAUGUGAAAUCCCCGGGCUCAACCUGGGAACUGCAUUUGAAACUGGCAAGCUAGAGUCUCGUAGAGGGGGGUAGAAUUCCAGGUAUAGCGGUGAAAUGCGUAGAGAUCUGGAGGAAUACCGGUGGCGAAGGCGGCCCCCUGGACGAAGACUGACGCUCAGGUGCGAAAGCGUGGGGAGCAAACAGGGUUAGAUACCCUGGGAGUCCACGCUGUAAACGAUGUCGAUUUGGAGGUGUGCCCUUGAGCGUGGCUUCCGGAGCUAACGCGUUAAAUCGACCGCCUGGGGAGUACGGCCCCAAGGUUAAAACUC
RNAcentral lists this ribosomal RNA (861 nucleotides) under uncultured gamma proteobacterium TIHP302-37. RNAcentral's name for it is "bacterial SSU rRNA". It matches the Rfam family "Bacterial small subunit ribosomal RNA", at positions 50 to 902 of the family's 1533-position model. Lineage: Bacteria; Pseudomonadati; Pseudomonadota; Gammaproteobacteria. The record is from RNAcentral.